ACGGGUGAGUAACACGUGGGAACGUACCCUUUGGUUCGGAAUAACGCUGGGAAACUAGCGCUAAUACCGGAUACGCCCUUUUGGGGAAAGGCUUGCUGCCGAAGGAUCGGCCCGCGUCUGAUUAGCUAGUUGGUGGGGUAAUGGCCUACCAAGGCGACGAUCAGUAGCUGGUCCGAGAGGAUGAUCAGCCACACUGGGACUGAGACACGGCCCAGACUCCUACGGGAGGCAGCAGUGGGGAAUAUUGGACAAUGGGCGCAAGCCUGAUCCAGCCAUGCCGCGUGAGUGAUGAAGGCCUUAGGGUUGUAAAGCUCUUUUGUCCGGGACGAUAAUGACGGUACCGGAAGAAUAAGCCCCGGCUAACUUCGUGCCAGCAGCCGCGGUAAUACGAAGGGGGCUAGCGUUGCUCGGAAUCACUGGGCGUAAAGGGCGCGUAGGCGGCCAUUCAAGUCGGGGGUGAAAGCCUGUGGCUCAACCACAGAAUUGCCUUCGAUACUGUUUGGCUUGAGUAUGGAAGAGGUCGGUGGAACUGCGAGUGUAGAGGUGAAAUUCGUAGA
RNAcentral lists this ribosomal RNA (557 nucleotides) under uncultured Methylobacterium sp. RNAcentral's name for it is "bacterial SSU rRNA". It matches the Rfam family "Bacterial small subunit ribosomal RNA", at positions 102 to 694 of the family's 1533-position model. Lineage: Bacteria; Pseudomonadati; Pseudomonadota; Alphaproteobacteria; Hyphomicrobiales; Methylobacteriaceae. The record is from RNAcentral.